AAUUUUGGACCAUGGGGGACACCCUGCUCCCGCCAUCCAGCGUGUGCGAUGAAGGCCUUCGGGUUGUAAAGCACUUUUGUCAGGGAAGAAAAGGUGCUGGCUAAUACCCGGAACUGCUGACGGUACCUGUAGCAUAUGCACCGUCUAACUACGUGCCAGCCUCCGCGGUAAUACGUAGGGUGUAACCGUUAAUCGGCAUUACUGGGCGUAAAGCGUGCGCAGGCGGUUCGGAAAGAAGGAUGUGAAAUCCCAUGGCUCAACCUUGGAACUGCAUUCUUAACUACCGAACUAGAGUAUGUCAGAGGGGGGUAGAAUUCCGCGUGUAGCAGUGAAAUGCGUAGAUAUGCGGAGGAAGACCGAUGGCGAAGGCAGCCCCCUGGGAUAAUACUGACGCUCAUGCACGAAAGCGUGGGUAGCAAACAGG
This 424-nucleotide ribosomal RNA is filed under the name uncultured bacterium. RNAcentral describes it as "partial 16S ribosomal RNA". It matches the Rfam family "Bacterial small subunit ribosomal RNA", at positions 360 to 776 of the family's 1533-position model. The record is from RNAcentral.